This 253-nucleotide ribosomal RNA is filed under the name uncultured bacterium. RNAcentral describes it as "partial 16S ribosomal RNA". It matches the Rfam family "Bacterial small subunit ribosomal RNA", at positions 524 to 776 of the family's 1533-position model. The record is from RNAcentral.
GACGGAGGAUGCAAGCGUUAUCCGGAUUCAUUGGGUUUAAAGGGAGCGUAGGUGGCCUUAUAAGUCAGUGGUGAAAUCUCUGGGCUUAACCCAGAAAUUGCCAUUGAUACUGUAGGGCUUGAGUAUAGUUGCCGUUGGCGGAAUAUGACAUGUAGUGGUGAAAUACAUAGAGAUGUCAUAGAACACCGAUUGCGAAGGCAGCUGACGAAACUGUAACUGACACUGAGGCUCGAAAGUGCGGGGAUCAAACAGG